Molecule: long non-coding RNA, 715 nt
Filed under: Rattus norvegicus (Norway rat)
Lineage: Eukaryota; Metazoa; Chordata; Mammalia; Rodentia; Muridae
Description: long non-coding RNA NONRATT018124
Source: RNAcentral
AGCUAAUACUGUACAAAUAAAAGUUUAAUAUAUGCACGUAGAAAUUAAAACAAAAGUAAGUUCGUAAGUGUGUUAAGACGUCCCAUAUUUAUUGAACAUGCCUUCAGUCAUUUUGAUAAAGCAUUGUUAGUCGCAUUUAUUAUUCAGCUUUUAUACCCUUUAUCAUAGCUUCAUGUCAGGUCUACACUCAUAUGUGCAAAUGUAUGUGUUUCAAUAAUGAUGUAUUUCUAUGUUCCUAUUGUGGUAAAGACAUUUAUUUAUAUUCUUGUUUCUUCUGAUUGUCGAGUUUAGACCUAUUUUAUAUAGUCUUGGUCAUUUAUUUUCUUGUUUCAUUUAUCCAUAUAGACAUAUAACCUAUAUUUAAUUCUAGGGUAUCAAGGCACAUGGGCUGAAAGUUUAUUAAUAUAAGAAAAGCUUUAGCAUAUGAAUACCUAGAAGACUAAUAACAAAUGUUGAGCAGUGUGGUGCAUAUGGCUGAGCAUGUGUAGGCUAACAUCUAGGUCAGUUAAAAUUUUGAAAAUUUAGACCUAAUAAAAAAGACUAAUUGUUGUGUAGAGGUCAGCUGGUUAUGAAAAUGGGUUGAUUUACUGAUGAACGCUUUUGGUAAGGUUAAUAGUGAGAAGGAUUUUAAUUCCAUAAUUUUUUGUUAGGAAGUGAAUUGUGUCAACUGAAUGUACUAUCAUAAUUGCCUAGCAUAAAUACCUGUUUACACUGG